GACCGAGGGAGGAUGGGCCCGUCCACGGACGGGCCCCGCACUCCCGGGGCGUCUCGUCCUCAUCGCGAGGAGAGGCGCACCCAGAGCGUACACGCUGGGACCCGAAAGAUGGUGAACUAUGCCUGGUCAGGACGAAGUCAGGGGAAACCCUGAUGGAGGUCCGUAGCGAUUCUGACGUGCAAAUCGAUCGUCGGAACUGGGUAUAGGGGCGAAAGACUAAUCGAA
Molecule: ribosomal RNA, 225 nt
Filed under: Nanos manomboensis
Lineage: Eukaryota; Metazoa; Arthropoda; Insecta; Coleoptera; Scarabaeidae
Description: partial 28S ribosomal RNA
Rfam family: Eukaryotic large subunit ribosomal RNA
Source: RNAcentral